This 408-nucleotide ribosomal RNA is filed under the name uncultured bacterium. RNAcentral's name for it is "partial 16S ribosomal RNA". It matches the Rfam family "Bacterial small subunit ribosomal RNA", at positions 28 to 526 of the family's 1533-position model. The record is from RNAcentral.
GACGAACGCUGGCGGCGUGCCUAAUACAUUCACGUCGAGCGAAGCUGCUGAUGGGUGAGUAACGCGUGGGUAACCUGCCCUUAAGUCUGGGAUACCAUUUGUAAACAUAUGCUAAUACCGGAUACUAAAGGAUGGACCUGCGAUGCAUUAGCUAGUUGGUAAGGUAACGGCUUACCACGGCGAUGAUGCAUAGCCGAGUUGAGAGAAGGAUCGGCCACAGUGGGAAUGAGAGACGGUCCAGACUCCUACGGGAGGCAGCAGUGGGGAAUAUUGCACAAUGGGCGCAAGCCUGAUGCAGCCAGGCCGCGUGUAUGAAGAAGGCCUUCGGGUUGUAAAGUACUUUCAGCGAGGAGGCGUUACUCGCAGAAGAAGCAUCGGCUAACUCCGUGCCAGCAGCCGCGGUAAUUC